This 446-nucleotide ribosomal RNA is filed under the name uncultured soil bacterium. RNAcentral describes it as "bacterial SSU rRNA". It matches the Rfam family "Bacterial small subunit ribosomal RNA", at positions 27 to 520 of the family's 1533-position model. The record is from RNAcentral.
GGAACGAACGCUGGCGGCAGGCUUAACACAUGCAAGUCGAACGCCCCGCAAGGGGGAGUGGCAGACGGGUGAGUAACGCGUGGGAAUCUACCUAGUUCUACGGAACAACAGUUGGAAACGACUGCUAAUACCGUAUACGCCCUACGGGGGAAAGAUUUAUCGGAAUUAGAUGAGCCCGCGUAAGAUUAGCUAGUUGGUGGGGUAAUGGCCUACCAAGGCGACGAUCUUUAGCUGGUCUGAGAGGAUGAUCAGCCACACUGGGACUGAGACACGGCCAGACUCCUACGGGAGGCAGCAGUGGGGAAUAUUGGACAAGUGGGCGCAGCCUGAUCCAGCCAUGCCGCGUGAGUGAUGGAAGGCCUAGGUUGUAAGCUCUUCAGUGGGAAGUAUAAUGACGGUACCACAGAAGAACGCCCGGACUAACUUCGUGACCGAGCACGCCGCGU